UACAGAGAUGGCAAGCGUUGUUCGGAAUCACUGGGCGUAAAGGGCACGUAGGCGGUCUAGUAAGUCGGGUGUGAAAGCCCCUGUCUCAAGCAGGGAACUGCGCCCGAAACUACAAGACUUGAGGAUGGAAGGGGAGAGUGGAACUUCUGGUGGAGCGGUGAAAUGCGUAGAUAUCAGAAGGAACGCCGGUGGCGAAAGCGACUCUCUGGUCUAUCCCUGACGCUGAGGUGCGAAAGCUAGGGGAGCAAACGGG
RNAcentral lists this ribosomal RNA (253 nucleotides) under uncultured bacterium. Its description in RNAcentral is "partial 16S ribosomal RNA". It matches the Rfam family "Bacterial small subunit ribosomal RNA", at positions 524 to 776 of the family's 1533-position model. The record is from RNAcentral.